ACGUUCCGAGCCCAGAUUUUCUCCCGUCUACGCACGAAGACGGCUACGGACAUUCCAGCCCCGCUCCCUGCACAGCUUAGGCACUCAUCGAUGGCAGCUGGGCAAAGGUUUCUGCAACACUCUAGAGCUGAUCAUUGAUCUCUCACAGCCACACUGCCAACAAAAAGGAAAGUUCUCCGAUCACCAGCCCGUCACGUGCUCAGGAUAUCCUUUCAGCUUCCAUUCCGCCUGCCCCUGGCCAGCUCACUGCAGCAAUGGGCUGCUUUGGGAGUUGGAACAGCUUGGAGACAUUCAAGCAAGAGAGAGGGCUGCAUGAUGUCCCAUUCCAGGGUGGCGACAGAAGUGGCCCAGCCAGCUGCUGCCAGCUCUGGGUUCCUGGGAAAGCAGUGGCUGAUCCUGCCAGGAGCCCAGUGCAAAGAGAAUGAUGGAGAUGAUACAGGCAUGACCACAGGUCAGAGGGGCUGAAGCCCAGCACUUCACUUCUGGUCUGAAAGUCCCUCAGAAAAAAAAGAACAAACCAUUUUCAAAGGGCACAGAAAAGAAAAUGGUGCAGUUAUUGGCCCCAGCAGUCAGUCUCUUGUCAUAGGCUGCUGCCUUCAGCUGCUGGUCCAGCUCAGAGAGCUGAGACCACAUAAUUUUCUGUAACAUUGCUCAACUGUGAUUUGAAUAAAGCAUU
Molecule: long non-coding RNA, 676 nt
Organism: Pipra filicauda (Wire-tailed manakin)
Lineage: Eukaryota; Metazoa; Chordata; Aves; Passeriformes; Pipridae
Exons: 3
Source: RefSeq, a predicted model, not a curated record